UUGUUAUUGCACAGAAUGUGAUUUACAAGUACAUCAUGGUUUAUUUUCUGAUAUGCUUCAGUAAUCCUUUACUCACAAUCAUAAAAUCUGUAUUUAGAACUCAAAAUAUUCCAUCUCUGGAGACAACAAUUUUUUUUUUUUUUUAUUCAAUUACAACCAUGAAGUUCCCUUGUUGUAUCAAGACAACACUAAACACCAUAGAAAUUCAUAUUUUCCUUUGCUCUAUCCUACUCCUACAUUGCUGCUUUAUCUUCUCUUUCAGUUGAGCCUUUGUCUGUGCUCCUGUGCUCUAUCCUACUCCUGCAUUUUUAAGCACCUACUCCUGCAUCGCUGCUUUAUCUUCUCUUUCAGUUGAGCCUUUGCCUGUGCUCUUGUGCUCUAUCCCACUCCUGCAUUUUUAAGCAUACUUCAUAAUCAUAACAGAAACCUAAAUAAGAUCAUAACAGAUAUGAGUACUGGAACACAAAUGUCCUUACAUAAGUUACACAAUUACAAGAUAUGUUCCUUACACAAAAAGUUUGAGCAUACAACACUUGCUUGUUACACUGACAUGCAUACAACACACUUGUUUCUUAGCCUCCCGCUCUUUGUUUUCAAGCUCAAUGGUAAAAUAAGUGUGUAUGAUUUCUCGCUAAAGUUUACGCUAUGCGCCUGCAACAAAAUGUUUCAGAGAAAAAUCAAUAGCUGAGCAAACAACCAUGCAUGUUAAAUUGGAAUUCUAUUACCAGGUAAACUUCAAUCACAUACAAACAAGAACUAUAAACCUUUUGAAAUAAGCAUCAGAUACUAUUGGUUCUACGCUUCAAAUUCAUGAUGAAAAGGAAGCUAGCUUGAUCCCAUUUUUCUCCUUAGUUGUAAUGGAAACCCCACUUGAUCAUCAUCUAGUAGAUUCUACAUGUAUAUAUAUAUUCUCAGCUGCGGACGUCCGCACCAAUUUUUUGGUGCGGAUUUCCAUUUUUGCACCACUUUCCGAUCGAAUUUCCUCAUCUCCACCAUCUAGUAUCUAGAUAAUAUUGUGUAGAUCAUCUCUACAAAAUUUCAGCCAAUUUGGUGAUCGUUAAGGCCCUUAAACUCGAAAAACAAAUGGACGGACUGAAUUCUGUCCGGUUGUGUUCAUACCAGAAAACUUGAGUUUGAGGGUCUUAACGAUCACCAAAUUAGCUGAAAUUUUGCAGAGAUGAUCUACACAAUAUUAUCUAGAUACUAGACGGUGGAGAUGAGGAAAUNNNNNNNNNNNNNNNNNNNNUUGGUGCGGACAUCCGCAUACGAGAAGGGCUGUAUAUAUAUAUAUAUAUACAUGUAUAUUGUAUGAAUGUUGCUGUUUCUUUUUAUCCACCAAUGUAAUAAAUCAUGACAGUUUAGUGUAGAGCAAUACAUGGUGCUAUCUACGAUAGUGGUGGCCGCCAGAAACUUAAAACUUUUAUAGUUAAAGGACUCUUAGAUACUUACCUUAAUAGUUACAAGGCUCACGGACAAAACCAAGACCCUUGCUUUAUUCAUAAACAGAAAAGAAGUUCUUACCAUAUUGGAUUAUCAUCUCCAAACCUUCAGCUUCGUUGUCCCAUUUCUCAUAUAAGUUAUCAACAAAAAAAUAACCCAAACCUAUGUCUACUGUGGCCGUUUUUAAAGUUUUGAGUGUAAAAGGUGAGCCUAUAAUUUGGAACCAAUUGUUGGUCUAAUUGAAAUGCACCUCCUAACAUGGGGACUACACAUAUAACAUGAUAUAUGUAAUUUUGUUCUGUUAGUAUAAACAAGAACUAAAAGCACCAAGAGAGCAUGACUAUCACAUUCGAAAGCAACAACAACAAUUGGUUCUACUCUGCAAACUAAACAAUUUGUCCUAAAGACAAAACAACAAAUUAUGUAUACAUCUACAGCUGAAGGCAAAUGAAGUCUGCGUACAUAAAAAUCUCUAACAUAGCUUUCAUGUCCAUCUGAGAAACCAACAAACAGUAUGCAGCAUACCAAAUUUGCCGAUUAACUAAAAAAUUAGAUAUCAACUAAAACCAAUGAGAGUGAAACUCUUGAACCCUUCACAAUUAACACCAUAUUUACAAUCCUCAAGAUUCCAACUUCACAGUUCAUAGCAAGUGUAACCUAAAAAAGCAUAUGAACAAGUAAGGUUGACGAUUGCUUACCACACCUGUAACAUUGGAUCCUCCUACAAUCUGGUUUAAUCUGCUGAGGGUUUUUGGGCAACGACAGAGAAGAGGACAAGAGGAGGAGAUUCGGGCGAUGACAAUCUUCCAUCUCCAGCGAUACGAGUCUGGGUCUCCGGCGAAACGAGUUUGGUUUAAUCUCCAGAGGGUCUUUUGGAAACGAUGGAGAAGAGGAGAAGAAUCGGGCACGACCGUCUUCCUCUCAAAGGCGAUGCAAGUUUGGGUGCUGAUUUGAUUUUUUUUUCUCUGUCUGUGAGAAGGAUGAUGAGCAAAAGUGGAGAAGACGAGAAGGAGACGUCUUGGUUUUGG
This 2468-nucleotide long non-coding RNA is filed under the name Fragaria vesca (wild strawberry). Its description in RNAcentral is "long non-coding RNA (FVES_LNC002989)". Lineage: Eukaryota; Viridiplantae; Streptophyta; Magnoliopsida; Rosales; Rosaceae. The record is from RNAcentral.